This 372-nucleotide ribosomal RNA is filed under the name uncultured organism. RNAcentral describes it as "bacterial SSU rRNA". It matches the Rfam family "Bacterial small subunit ribosomal RNA", at positions 526 to 896 of the family's 1533-position model. The record is from RNAcentral.
CGUAGGAGGCGAGCGUUAUCCGGAUUCACUGGGCGUAAAGCGUGUGCAGGUGGCGCGGUAAGUUGGGUGUGAAAUCUCCCGGCUCAACUAGGAGAGGUCAUUCAAUACUACCGUGCUUGAGAGCGGAAGAGGAAGAUGGAAUUCCCGGUGUAGUGGUGAAAUGCGUAGAUAUCGGGAGGAACACCAGUGGCGAAGGCGAUCUUCUGGUCUGUUUCUGACACUCAGACGCGACAGCUAGGGUAGUAAACGGGAUUAGAGACCCCGGUAAUCCUAGCCGUAAACGAUGUGAACUUGGCGUUGGUGGGUUAAACUCCAUCAGUGCCGUAGCAAACGCGAUAAGUUCACCGCCUGGGGACUACGGCCGCAAGAUUA